Chelmon rostratus (copperband butterflyfish) is the source of this 1928-nucleotide RNA transcript. It is a transcript of the gene named interleukin 11 receptor, alpha, with no coding region annotated. The record is from RefSeq and is a predicted model, not a curated record. The transcript has 12 exons. NCBI's taxonomy places the organism in Eukaryota, Metazoa, Chordata, Actinopteri, Chaetodontiformes, Chaetodontidae.
GCUAGCUUGUAUCCAGUCAUUCCGGGGAGCCGAAGAACAACUCGACCGAGUCCCAGCCAUGGAAGGCGACAACAUAAUAAUGCCUGUUUGACUCGGGGAGAUUUUCCAAGAUGCCAGGCCUUUUGUCCAGUCCUGUGUGUCUGACAGUCAUCUGGUUUUUAUCUUGGUCGCUGCGUCCCAGUCGUGCUCAGAUUCAGGCUGAUGAAGUGUCAGGCGUGCAGUAUGGGCGCUUGGAGUCAAAUGUGACACUGGCAUGCGGGAAGCCACAAACCGGGAUACCUGUGGUGUGGCAUCUCAACCACAGCUCAGCGUUACCAUGGCACAAAGUGACAUCAGAUGGAAGCAUAGUCCUGCUGCAUGUCGACCACUCUGCGCAGGGCAACUACAGCUGCUAUGACAACCAGGGGCUCCUCCUCCACUCUGUCAAACUCAGGCUGGGCCAUCCCCCUGGGCUGCUGAGCGUUUCCUGUCAAGUGCCCAAUCACACGCAUGUUCGCUGCUCCUGGGUGGAUUCGGUAAAGACCUUCCUACCAGCCAAGUACAAUGCCUCCUUCAGGGGGAGUGGUCAGGAGUGGAGGCCAUGCAUCGUGGACAUCACCCGAAAGCACUGUGAUGUAGAUCACCCUGCCUUCUGGCAGACCAUCCACACCCUGAGAAUCACAGAGACCAACGGCCUGGGGUCCGAGACAACAUAUGUCCGGUUUAAGUUACAUAAACUAUUGAAACCAGACCCUCCAGAGUCAGUGAUGGUGAAGGAGCUAGAAGGCUAUUCAAAGAGGCUGAUCGUCUCCUGGAACUUUCCCUCCUCCUGGCCGCUGCAUGAUGCUUUUCCCCUUGUGUUUCAUAUACGAUACCGGCCGAUGGGCUCUAUGUACUGGUCAGAGAUUUACUCUGAGGAGAGUCCAGUUGUGAUUUCUGACGCCCUGGCUGGACACCUCCACCAAGUUCAGGUCCGAGCCCGUGACGAGGUGAACUCUGAGAGCCAGUGGAGUGAAUGGAGUCCCCUGCUUCUUGUCAGGCCCUGGGAAGUCUACACCACCCCUGAACCUGAACCUGAACCUACAGAGGAGCUCCUGCCAGAGGAAUAUUUUUUUCCCUUCAACACAAAGCCUGAGACCACCACUGCAAAGUCACACAUCCUACUCUCCAUCCUUUCAUCAUCUUUCUGUUGCUUUAACUCUCUCGUUCCCUGCACCCCCGCCCCCGUUGUUUUGUCCCUCUCUCUUCCCAUUCAGAUCCUGCAUUUGAGGAUGAAGGUAAUUUGGGUUUGGUCAUUCUGCUGGUUUUGUUCUCCGUGGUCAUCCUCACCACCGUCCUUUCCCUCAUCUUUGUCGUGUGGGUGAGGCAGAGGCGGCGCGAUCAUGCAACCCUGCAGGAACUCGCCUCUAUGGUCAAGAUGAAGUCCAUGCCAAUCUAAUGUUGAUUUCAAGCAUCCUCUCCUCAUCAGCCCGUUCUAGGGCUCUCUCCAAGAGUCAGCCUCUGCCUUUACCACUGUAGAAUGCUGGCCGUCCAUAUUUAACUACACUAACCAGAAUGCAUCAGCCUGAGUCCAUCCAAGAUCCAGGACAACAGGGACGAACCUAUACAAGGAACUUUGCAGAGGAGGAUAAAGUUACCCAGUAAGACUGAAGGGUACGUUGUGCAAGAGUUUCCUGAAUGUAUUCAGUGGACACUUCUAACUACACUACCCAUAAUGCAUCAGCAGACUCCACCUACUGUCCAUGAGGACAGGGAAAACAGACCCUACUCUGUUUCUUUAUGUUCACUUCAGCAACUUCACUGCAGUUGACUCCUCAGCGGACUGAAGGAGCGACUGCGUCAGGACGUUUGGAUUCACUCACAACCAAUGCUGCUUCAGGUGGACAGGCUCCUCAAACUUUAUGGAGAGAAGUGAUGUUUUAUUUUAGUUUGUUUUUUUUUUUUUUUAG